RNAcentral lists this ribosomal RNA (256 nucleotides) under uncultured bacterium. RNAcentral's name for it is "partial 16S ribosomal RNA". It matches the Rfam family "Bacterial small subunit ribosomal RNA", at positions 524 to 775 of the family's 1533-position model. The record is from RNAcentral.
UACGAAGGGGGCUAGCGUUGUUCGGAAUUACUGGGCGUAAAGCGCGUGUAGGCGGGUCUUUUAAGUCAGGGGUGAAAUGCCAAGGCUCAACCUUGGAACUGCCUUUGAUACUGGAGACCUUGAGUCCGGGAGAGGUGAGUGGAAUUGCGAGUGUAGAGGUGAAAUUCGUAGAUAUUCGCAAGAACACCAGUGGCGAAGGCGGCUCACUGGCCCGGAACUGGCGCUGAGGAGCGAAAGCCAGGGGGAAGGCAAACGG